CCCUGGUGGCGAGUGGCGAACGGGUGAGUAAUACAUCGGAACGUGCCCAGUCGUGGGGGAUAACGUAGCGAAAGUUACGCUAAUACCGCAUACGAUCUACGGAUGAAAGCGGGGGACCGUAAGGCCUCGCGCGAUUGGAGCGGCCGAUGUCAGAUUAGGUAGUUGGUGAGGUAAAGGCUCACCAAGCCGACGAUCUGUAGCUGGUCUGAGAGGACGACCAGCCACACUGGGACUGAGACACGGCCCAGACUCCUACGGGAGGCAGCAGUGGGGAAUUUUGGACAAUGGGCGCAAGCCUGAUCCAGCCAUUCCGCGUGCAGGACGAAGGCCUUCGGGUUGUAAACUGCUUUUGUACGGAACGAAAAGGCUCUGGUUAAUACCUGGGGCUCAUGACGGUACCGUAAGAAUAAGCACCGGCUAACUACGUGCCAGCAGCCGCGGUAAUACGUAGGGUGCAAGCGUUAAUCGGAAUUACUGGGCGUAAAGCGUGCG
RNAcentral lists this ribosomal RNA (492 nucleotides) under uncultured beta proteobacterium. Its description in RNAcentral is "bacterial SSU rRNA". It matches the Rfam family "Bacterial small subunit ribosomal RNA", at positions 83 to 571 of the family's 1533-position model. The record is from RNAcentral. Lineage: Bacteria; Pseudomonadati; Pseudomonadota; Betaproteobacteria.